AAUAAAUCAAUUUUUCACUUUUUAGCUUUAAUUUUUGACUCUUCGUCUUAUUAAAAAUUUUUUACGAUUAAUAUUUUUAUUUUUAUUAAAUGAUAAAUUAUAAAUAGUAUUUUACGUAUGACUAAUUUUUUUUAAUUUCCUAAAAAAUUUUAAGACGAAUGGUCAAACGUUGGACACGGAAACCGAUAACGCACGCAGC
RNAcentral lists this microRNA precursor (199 nucleotides) under Oryza brachyantha (malo sina). RNAcentral describes it as "MIR812 microRNA precursor family". It matches the Rfam family "MIR812 microRNA precursor family". Lineage: Eukaryota; Viridiplantae; Streptophyta; Magnoliopsida; Poales; Poaceae. The record is from Rfam by way of RNAcentral.